CAAUAGCAUAUAUUAACGUUGUUGCAGUUGAAAAGCUCGUAGUUGAACUUUUGGUAGGAGCGACCUGGCCUUGGGCGCAUGCCCUUGUUUGCCGUGUGUCGUGUCUGGCCAUCCUUUUCUUCUUUUUGGAAGGAAUCUUUUACUGUGAGUAAACUGGAGUGCUCAAAACAAGACGUUUGUUUGGUACAUUAAAGCAUGGAAUAAUAAGAUAGGACCUGGUUACUAUUUUGUUGGUUUGCAUAGCUAGGUAAUGAUUAACAGGGACAGUUGGGGGUAUUCGUAUUUAAUUGUCAGAGGUGAAAUUCUUGGAUUUAUGAAAGACGAACGACUGCGAAAGCAUUUACCAAGGAUGUUUUCAUUA
This 361-nucleotide ribosomal RNA is filed under the name uncultured eukaryote. RNAcentral's name for it is "partial 18S ribosomal RNA". It matches the Rfam family "Eukaryotic small subunit ribosomal RNA", at positions 592 to 975 of the family's 1831-position model. The record is from RNAcentral.